UUCGCAAUGCCCGAAAGGGUGACGAUGCGACGCCGCGUGAGCGAAGAAGGCCCUAGGGUUGUAAAGCUCUGUCAGGGGUUAAGAAAUGUAGAUAGGUUAAUACCCUGUUUAUUUGACAAAAGCCCCAAAGGAAGCCACGGCUAACUCUGUGCCAGCAGCCGCGGUAAUACAGAGGUGGCAAGCGUUGUUCGGUAUUAUUGGGCGUAAAGAGCACGUAGGUGGUUUUGUAAGUCAGAUGUGAAAGCCUUCUGUUCAAAGGACGAACGGCAUCUGAAACUGCUGAUCUUGAGUGUAGGAGGGGAGAGCGGAACUUCUGGUGGAGCGGUGAAAUGCGUAGAUAUCAGAAGGAACGUCGGCGGCGAAAGCGACUCUCUGGCCUAUUACUGACACUGAGUGUGCGAAAGUUAGGGGAGCAAACGGGAUUAGAUACCCCGGUAGUCCUAACCGUAAACGAUGGGCACUAAGUAGAGGGGUUUU
Molecule: ribosomal RNA, 477 nt
Filed under: Candidatus Scalindua wagneri
Lineage: Bacteria; Pseudomonadati; Planctomycetota; Candidatus Brocadiia; Candidatus Brocadiales; Candidatus Scalinduaceae
Description: bacterial SSU rRNA
Rfam family: Bacterial small subunit ribosomal RNA
Source: RNAcentral